This is a long non-coding RNA of Eptatretus burgeri (inshore hagfish), 2002 nucleotides long. The record is from Ensembl. NCBI's taxonomy places the organism in Eukaryota, Metazoa, Chordata, Myxini, Myxiniformes, Myxinidae.
GAGAGAGCACCAGAAAUGAUAUAAAUCACGAUAUCUCAAAAAAAAAAAUUUGUGUACAGAUUUUGACGAAAGUUGGUGGACAGAUUGAGUGCGUGACGACGAUGAUCUUGUCAAGUAUGUUUCUUUAACAUACACCAGUGUGUGUGACGAUGAUGAAUUGAUUUGAUUUUGGUGUGGAUCCGGAUCUGGAUCCAGGUGAAGUAUGUGCUCUACCUCAUGUUCUUCUCAUUUAAUGAUAAAAUCGACAUUAAAUUUAAAUGUUGCGAUAUGUGGAAUUGAAUAAACCAUUUUUUAUUAUUAUUAUUAUUAUUAUUAUUAUUAUUAUUAUUAUUAUUAUUAUUAUAUAUUUAUUUUACUUUUUUUUACCCCAUGCACAUGAAGCGAAAAGUGGGGUUAAGCAAUUGGUUCAUCUCCGUCUGUUUGUCUUGAAAUGUCAGUUUAUGAUCGAGUAACAACUUAUUUAAAUUGAAUGUUAUAUUUUCAACAUGAAUUGGAAAACAAACCUGCCAGUUUACAGUACUUUGUCUCUGAAUUUGUCUCGAUCGCACGUGUGCAAAGAGGAGUAAGAUAUUUAUUUUACUCCAUCUGUCUGUCCAGCAGUUGUACAAAAUUGAAAAUCAUUUCAAACAGGAAACAUUGUUUUUAAAGGUGUCAUAAAGCACACACUCAACAGGUAUAAAUAACUAAUGUAACGUGUUUGACAGUGUGGCGUAAAAGAUGCUGCAUUAACGGUGGUAUAUUUCUGAAAAAUAUAUUUUUUCCUCCAGUUGUUAAAACCUUAAUUUUAUUUCAAUUGAAUUACACACUUAAACACUGUAGAACUCAAUUUGCUGCCUUUUAAAGCAAAAUUUUGUCACGUGCACACAUGCACAUGUGUUUUUUGCAAGGUUAAUGCAGUUUCAUCCAAGUAUAAAGUGCAUGGAGUUUUAAGAUUGUUUUUGUCUUUGUAUAGCGAUAUGGACCUGUAUCUGGAGGAGUCAUACUCUUCCAAUCUUCAGAAUAGUGUUUCUCAAGAGCAUGUCGUCAAGCCUUCUUCAGAUUGCUCCUCUUCUUCUUCAACUUCAACCCUGUCUUCUAUCUCGCCGCCUCUGCUGUUACAAGGACAACCUGAACACUUUGCAGGUGGUGAGAAUUCCUCUUUGCAAGAGCAUAAGGAUAAAGUGGGCAAAGCUGAGCCACCAGAGUGGCAAACACGUAGUCACUGGCAGAGAUCGGGGAAGCAUAUACCACGCAAGAGCAAGCAACGUUCUACCUGCAUGGCUGCAGGUUGCACCGUGGGUGCUGAGUGUGGAAACCCAGCCUGCGUUGCUCUCGAUAAAGAUUCCGGGCAGUCAUAUGAUGCUGAGUGUGUACAUCAACGUGGGAGAGAGUGUCUACAGGAAGACAGGCCAUUGCACAGGAGCCCUCUGUCUACGGAUGGUGAUGCUGGGAAACGUCUGUCAGAAGUACUUGUGGAGGAAAGAACAGCAUCUUCUGAUACAUCUGUCGAAAGUGGUGUGGAUGGAGUUGCUUUCCUUUUGGAAAGAAUUCGGGCUCUCCAGUACAAUCUUGAAGAAAGGUGAUCCUAAUUUCCAAAUUUUGUGUGUUAUUAUUCGAUCACCUGAAACGUAGUUCCGGGGAGCUUAUGGGAUGGCGCGUCGUCAGUUCGUCCGUCCAUGAACACUUGCAACUUAUUCUCAGAAACUACACACACGAUUUCAAUGAAACUUGAUCACAACCUUCAUCACCCGUGAUGUACCAAAGUUUGUUCAUGGCAUAAAAAAUCGGGGUCUGAGGGGGUCGAUGGAGGGGUUUUAUGGGUGGGAUGGUUAGCCCCCAAAAGAGAUAUUUGCUUUCUUCUCAGAAACUACACACACAAUUCCAAUGGAACUUGACCACAACCUUCAUCACGCUUGAUGCACCAAAGUUUGUUCACAACUUUAAAAAAAAAAAAACCCGGGGCCAUAACAUUGAUUCAUUGGUACAUUUUGCUGACUCCAUCACACGUUGACUUCCUCUUCAG